Molecule: non-coding RNA, 125 nt
Organism: Hordeum vulgare subsp. vulgare (domesticated barley)
Lineage: Eukaryota; Viridiplantae; Streptophyta; Magnoliopsida; Poales; Poaceae
Source: Rfam
GUGGUACUCCCUCCAUCCGAAAUUACUUGUCGUCAAAAUGAAAAGAAAUGGAUGUAUCUAGAACUGAAAUACAUCUAGAUACAUUCAUUUAUAUGACAAAUAAUUUCGGACGGAGGGAGUAUUAG